GUAAGACCGAGGGGUAUUGUGACAUGCUCCAAGGGAAAGGCAGUUUUCCCUUUGGCCAACCAAGCCUCCCGCCCAUUGGGGCAAGGGAGCCGGACCGACAUGGAACAGAGGCCUGGGGAGCAGCCCUCAAGGGCCCAGAAGAAGAAGGUCGAGGCUCAGCCGGAGACCCUAAGUCAGACUGUCUCGGGCCGCGGUCGGGUGCUGCUAAUAAGAGAGUUCUUGAAGCAGGAGGAGAGCUACACAACCCUGCAGAACUUUCCGGGUCAGCCUCCGAAGGAUCCGAACGCUGAGCCCACCUGCAGCCAAGCAACAGACUGCCAACGUAGGUCCAGCAGUGCCAAGCGGGGACUCAAGCGUACCGGCGACUGCUUGGCAGACAGCCCCGAAGCCCCGGCCACCAAGUCCAAGUGCCUGGCGGAGAAGUCGGAGAGGGCGGAGAAGCCGGAGAAGCUGGAGAAGCAGCAACUCUCGGAUCUCAAGGAAAAGGACUUGCCCGAUUGCGAGGCGCCUCGAGCUCUACCCGAGGCCCCCAGGUCGGAGACGGCAGAGAUCGCCGAACUAGGCUCGGAGCCUGGCAAGCAGCUGCUCCUGGUGCUGUGCCACGCGUCGGCGCUGGGCACGCAGCUGCCGCGGCUGCAGCUGCUCCUGCAGCAGGUGCGCAUCCAGGACCGCCGCCCGCCAGCCGCGCUCGUCGGAAUCCUGGUGCAUCCGCGGCCGGAUGAGGAGGCAGAGUCGCGCCGCCGUCUGGAGGAACUGCUCUGCAGCGUCUUCGCUUCAGAGAACCCAGGGGUCGAGGUGCACACAGCAGUGUUCUGUCCCAGCCGCUCCCAGGGUGUCCUGGAUGUCCAGCGCGCUGCCAGUCAAGCGCACAUGGACACCCAAGUGGAUCGCCAGACCCAGACGGAUGAAAGCCUUCAAGGAAACACUGUACUCCCCGUAACUCACGUACUUCAAGCUCUCGGAACUGUUGCUGUGGCUCUGGGGGCCCUGGGAGCUGCCUACUUCAUCGCUGAAUCCUUCUGAACUGGACCCCAGGCCAACGGUCCGGCAGUGACUGUGUCCACUCACACCGGUGUCCUCCAGCCUGUCCCACGUGGUCUUUGGAACGUGUGUGAUCUCUCCCACUCCUUACUUAUAACUCACCAUCUCUGCAUAUGAGGAUGUCUUCAGUCACCUGUUUCACCUGAGCCCCCUUGAGCCCCAGAAGCAGAGCCGGAAACAAGGAUUGGGUGCGCCUGAUACCUUGAGGAAGUACUCUCAGGAGGAAGCCGGGGAAAUACCACAGCACUUAAGAGCCUUGGCUCCCUCUUCCUGGACUUGCUGGGAGUGAGAAGGUGUCUGUAGGAGAUAGCUGAUAGCUGGUGACUGCUGUGUCUUGUUAUUGUAUCAGCACGAUGCCUGAGAAGAUUCUGCCUUUGGAGUUAACUUGACAAUCUCUAGACUGCUGCCUGGACUCAGUGUUAGAAACAUGUUCUUAACUUCUCUGUCCAUGUCAUCUCUGGUGGAGAGUAACAGCUCUCUCCGAAGACAAAGGUCAUGAGGAUUAAAAGAGAAAGAUUUAGAGGUGUCCUACGCAGGGCCACUGCCCAGGGUGGGGCAUAUGAAGGAUGCAAGCAUUUUUAUCUAUGAGAUUCUUUGUAGUGUCGCCGACUGCUUGAAGCAUGGGUUCUGCAAGCAUAUGAGGAUUUAGGGUUAGAUGUCCCUUUGGCAUCCAGUGCCUGGAGCUGGGGGCAGGCUCUGACAUCUCAUUCUCUUCCCGUUGAGUGGAGAUAAUACCAGCAGAACCCUCUUGUUGGGAAGAUUGAGCUUUAGAUGUUAAUGAUGGAGAGAUGUCUCACAGUGAAGCACUUGCCUUGCAAGCAUGAAGACGUGAGUUCAGAUCCCCAGCACCCGUAUAAAAAGCAGGAACCAGCAGUGUGACCCCAAUGCUGGAGAGCUAAGGCAGGAGGAUUCUUGGGCCUCUCUGGGCAGCCCGUCUAGCCAGCCAGUGAACUCUAGGUUCAGCGAGAGACUACACCUUGUCUCAAAAGUAAGGUGGGGAGCAACCGAGGAAGACGUCAUGUUGACCUCUGGCGUCCGUACAUCUAUGUAUCAAUCAGCACACACAUGCAGAGACAAACUGGUGGGGGAGGGGGGAGGAGAGAGACUGUGCUGCUGCAAAACUGCUCAUUAGGUCACCUGAGACAAACCAGGAUCCUCUGCAAGAACGAGUGUUCUUCACGGCUCAGCCAUUUCUCCAGACUUUAAUUAGCUUUGGAAGUAACAAGUUCCUUUAUGGCAUUUUCACAUUACUUAAUUUGGGUUGAUUCUCCCCGACUCCUCCUGUCUCCCCACCCUCCCAUCCGAAUUGUACUCUCCUGUCCAAGAACUGCCCCUUCCACGUCUCAUGUGACCUAUCAUCCUCCCCACACCCUUACUCAAAGCCUCUUUCUCCCAUCUACUGGGCUCCUUUCCAGCUUCCUGACACCUACUCACACAUAUUCCCACAUACAUAUGCAAAUCUGCUUCCUCUUAGAGAAAGAUGCUCCCAGAAUUUUCCUUCCUAGAGCUUGGUGAAACAACGUCUCCCUCAGCAUUUUCCUCAGCUGAUAAUGAGGCAACAAAAGCAAAAAGUUCCUUUGGGAUCUUGAAUAUGGUCAAAGUCCGCACCAUAGGAACCUCUGAGGGAAUGAGGCCCCCUCUUGGCUGCUGCGGUCUCUCGAGGAAGGGGGGGUUGACAGGGAGGAUACCGACCCUGGCAGAGCCCAGAGGACGCUCUUGGACUUGACUGUCACAGCCUUGGGGUGAAUCAGUGUAGCUGACUUCGAUUGAAGAAGCAAACAAGAAGAAUGGGAGAGAUCCGUGAAGAAGGAAGAGAAGGAAGAAGAAAGAGAGGUAGGAGAGAGAAAAGAAGAAGAGAGAAAGGAGAGGAGGAGGAAGAAGAGGAGGAGGAUAAUAAAAGGAAUUUGGAUUCUAAAAUAAUUUACUUUUUUUGCAAAAAGCAUGUAGCUGUUGAACCCUCAUAGAUAAGACUGUAAAGGUUGAAAGCUGUUGAGAUAGGUCACGAGGGACUGAUUAAGCUAAUGGUUCUGUCAUUUAUUUAUUUUUCCUUACAGAUCCAGUUUCCAUCCAAGGAUCUCACUUGUCACCAAAAUAGAGAGAGAAAAAUA
This is an RNA transcript of Peromyscus maniculatus bairdii (prairie deer mouse), 3149 nucleotides long. It is a transcript of the gene named spermatogenesis associated 3, with no coding region annotated. The record is from RefSeq and is a predicted model, not a curated record. Lineage: Eukaryota; Metazoa; Chordata; Mammalia; Rodentia; Cricetidae.